CAAUAGCGUAUAUUAAAGUUGUUGCAGUUAAAAAGCUCGUAGUUGGAUUUCUGGUAGGAUGACUGUGCCCUCAGUAGAGUGUGCGCUGGCGUCUUGCCAUCCUUCUGUUAACCUUUGGGAGCUUCACCGCUCCCUUUGGGGCUCAGAUAUUUUACCUUGAGAAAAUUAGAGUGUUUCAGGCAGGCUAGCGCCGGAAUACAUUAGCAUGGAAUAAUGGAAUAGGACUUUUGCCUCUUCUGUUGGUCAUGGGGUUCGAGUAAUGAUUAAUAGGGAUAGUUGGGGGCAUUAGUACUUCACUGUCAGAGGUGAAAUUCUCGGAUUUGUGAAAGACUAACUUAUGCGAAAGCAUUUGCCAAGGAUGUUUUCAUUA
This 370-nucleotide ribosomal RNA is filed under the name uncultured eukaryote. RNAcentral describes it as "partial 18S ribosomal RNA". It matches the Rfam family "Eukaryotic small subunit ribosomal RNA", at positions 592 to 975 of the family's 1831-position model. The record is from RNAcentral.